CCCGGAAGGCGGUGGGGGCGGGGAGCGAAGCUGACAACCUGUCAAGUCCACUCCAGGACGAACUAGGUCACGCGCCUCUUGUAGCUCCGGCGCCCCCGCCCCGCGAGGCCCUGCGGGUGGCCCUGGGGCCCAGCCGCUCCGCUUCCUCUUCCUGCCCGCGGUGGUGGGGGCGGGGCGGACACCUGCCGUCCGCAGGCCCGCUUCAACCUCUGGGCUGCUGGAGGCCGCCUAGCUCGCGGGCCCGCGCGCGCCUAUCCGCUGGGAGACGGAUUCGCGGUCUCCGACGCCGGCCGUGGGCUCGCGGAAGCGCACAGCGCACUACUUGACGCGGAAGGAUCCGGGCUUCCGCGGUUACCUGUCCUCCACUCGAAUCCGACCUCGGCCGAAGGGCCCGCGACGACGAUCGUCCGCCCCACGGAGAAGAGAUACUGGUUCAGUCCCGCGCUGCCGACCUCACAAUGGCGCGGACACGCAGGCACAGUCACGCAGCGGCCCUUGCGCUUCUUCGCCCAUAGCUUAUCGGCCGAGGGGACCGCGGCGGGACCCUCCUUCCCACUCGCCUACUCAGAUGAUGAGAACGUCCCCACACGACACCAUGACGCUGUUUUAACAAUGCCUAACUCUGUUCUUCCAAACUGCCCACACUUAAAGGGUCCCAUUAUAUAGCCCCACUGGCCUCAACCACAGCAACCUUCCUGCCUAUGCCUCCCUAAUUGCUGGGACUAAAGGAAUUCCACAGACGGGACUAUCAGCUUCUGCUUACAGUAAAAACACUUCAUUGAGCAAAUCUGGUGACCUGGGGUGUGACCUUAUCAGCAGUGACCCACCCUGUGAUCUCAUUCAAGGUCCUUAGCAACCCUUUGAGCUGUUCAGAAACCACCCAAAUCCAGGGCUCUACCCACUGAGAAGCCUACAGCCACACCUGGGUGUAACCCCGCCCAGGCACCUUGCUUUCUAACCCCUCCAGGGUAAACUUGGAUUGAACUCUCCUCUUAGUAAACUCACCCCCCUCUCUGCUUCCCUCUGAAGCUAAGACUAGUCCUGAAUCUUUUCUGUAGUGAAGGCCAGAGGCGAGCACUAAUACUCAAGGUAAAAUGCUGCAGAUCCCCGAGAGGCUGCGUGGGCAGCAGGCGAGUGGCAAGCGGGCAGCGGGUUCUGAGAUCAGCCGGUCCCAGGCAGGGAUGGCAUAGCUCUCUGAGUGGCUACAGCAGGGAGCCGCGUGGUGGGUGAGAGACCUCAAUGGGGAAGCUAGUUCCACGAGGAGAGACAGACAGCGGGGCAUGCCACGAGACGCUGCCGCAGGUUCUCCGAAGGAGGCUGGUCCCGGGCAGGGAGCCCGGCUGGUGAGAGACAGAGACAUGGAUAGGCAUGCCAUGUGAGGUUGGAUAUUUAUUUAGUGAGUUAUG
Myodes glareolus (Bank vole) is the source of this 1406-nucleotide non-coding RNA. NCBI's taxonomy places the organism in Eukaryota, Metazoa, Chordata, Mammalia, Rodentia, Cricetidae. The record is from RefSeq and is a predicted model, not a curated record.